Long non-coding RNA from Cyprinus carpio (common carp), 2277 nucleotides. RefSeq lists it as uncharacterized. NCBI's taxonomy places the organism in Eukaryota, Metazoa, Chordata, Actinopteri, Cypriniformes, Cyprinidae. The record is from RefSeq and is a predicted model, not a curated record.
GAACUGCAAAGAUGUUGUGGCAUGCGUCUGCCGCAGCGGUGCGCCCGCGUUGACAGCAGCGCAGGAAACACUGCCAUAGAGCAAAAACAUCGAGCUUCAGAUUCAGAAGAAGAGCUAAGGACAAAACGAAGUCGCUUUAAAGACAUUUUAUCGUAGAAAUAGAUAUUUUAACCAACUUUACUGCUCUAUAAUGGAUGCAAUUGGACAAGCUUUAAGCGGGAACGUACUUACAGAAUAUGGGAUGUGUUUGCACCGUUAUACCCAGCCAACCGAAACAGAGCUCUGGGACAUGUGGACAGACAUUGACUGUAAUGAUGGACAUCUGCACAUGCACAGGCAAGAAGCAUAACCCCUUCUGGACAUCGUGCUGGAGCUCGGGGGGGACCCCAUGAUCCCCCACACCUUCUCACUCACGCCACACCAUUCACUCAUAUCGCGGAGAUCUGGCUGGAUUCGAACCAGCAACCUCUGAACCGUGAGGCAGUGCUCUUACCGCUGAGCCACAGAUCUCUUAUAUGAACAUGUGCAGGAACUUAUAUUUCACUAUUUACAUGUAUGUGACUUGGGAUUUUACAAUAAACCAAUUAAAGUUACAAGCUAACACUGAGCUAGGGUUUGAAGCCAUGACUCCAUCGCAACCACGUCCACAACUAACGUGUGUUUUGCCACUGCACCAUCACAGCUUCCACACUGAGUGGUAGGAUUUGGGGCACUUUGUUGGAUAUAAUCACAUCAAUUUAAUGUUAAGAAGAAUUGGAUUUGAACCUCUGACUCUAUUAUAAACUUGUCUGUAGCUAACAGGUGCAUAUCCAUUGCACCAUUAUGGCUUUCAUACUGUGAGAUGGCAUUUGGGACACUUUGUUGGAUAUAAUGACAACAAUUUAACCUAUGCAAGAAUGGGAUUUGAACCCAUAAUUCCAUUGCAACCUUGUCUGCAACUAACGUGUGUUCAGCCACUGUACCAUUGUGGCUUUCACGCCAAAAAAUGGCAUUUAGGACACUUUGCUGAAUAUAAUGAAAACAAUUUAAUUUAUGCAAGAGUCAGAUUUGAACCCAUAAUCCCAUCGCAACCUUGUCUGCAACUUAGUAUGUUUAAGCCACUGCUCUACCAUGGCUUUCACAACAAGAAAUGGCAUUUAGAACACUUUGUUAUUAUAAAAUAAUUGUAAAACAUUUAUUAUAAAAUGUGGUAUUUGUACUGUAAAACAAGGCAAAAAUACUGAGUAAGAAUUUUUUUUUUGCAUUGUAGGUGGUUGUCACUCUAUGCUAGACAUACACUGUACCAUAUCUGACUCUAGGUUCAGGGUGAAUAAGACAUGUUAUGUUAUGACUAGAGUGAGUCGAAGCUGGUGAUGUAUAUUCUAGGAGGCGUCCAUCUGUUGCUUGGAGAGUCAUGAGUCACGGGCCCAUAUUCAUGACCUCAUAUGAAUGUUUCUAGGGGUUUGGAGCAGAAGGUGGAAGACGGAAAUGUCUAUGCAACCCAAAACCUUGGACCAGAGAGGUGAUGGUCAACUCAGAUUACAGACUGUGACCUCUGUGUGGUUGACAGCUGACUUUGAGAGGAAAAAAGGUCACUGCUGAUGUCUAGCAGAACCAGACCUAUAGCAAAACCCAAUGACACUUGUAAAAAAAAAAAAAAAAGGGUAAGGUAAGAUUUGAAUGGUUCAACUUACUAUAAUCAUAACAUUCAUAACAUACAUAGGCCCUAAUGCACAGAAAUCAUGCUUGAAUUAACGAUUAUGUGCUCUUCAUUAAAUAGCUGUCUGUAUUUUCUUUUACUUUAGCCUUUUUGCAGACCAAUGUGUUUAUUCAACAUGUUCCAAUUUGGCGCAAAUCCAUUCCACCGUUUUGCUUUCGGAAAAUGAGAGCAGGACUCGAAAACCCUGAAUGCUAAAGUGUUCUUCAGAGCACCUGCACGCUCGAAUGGGCUUCAGAUGGCAAUUAGGAAAUGGCCUGUGAAAUGACUUGAUAACAGCAGAAUCCAGAGAUAGUGGAGUCCAAUUCGUUUAAAGCUGAGUAUUUGUGGCCGCUGGGGCUUGGGGGCAGAGGCUUGCUGAUAGUACAUUAAAUUAUGUCUUGACCACAGCAGCCUGAAGUCAGCCUUGAAAAACAUCAUUCAGCUGAUGCAAAGUCAGAGAAACUCAAAAGCCCUCUAAUAAUACAGCAGCAUCCGAGCGAACACAGGAUAAGCUCUCCCUUCAUUCACUGUCAUUCACAACCACAAAUAAAUAAAUAACCAUCCACCAGUUGACCAAAAAUUUUUAUUGUUAUUGUCAA